AGAGUUCGAUCAUGGCUCAGAUUGAACGCUGGCGGCAGGCCUAACACAUGCAAGUCGAGCGCGAAAGGCUUUCGGGCUGAGUAGAGCGGCGGACGGGUGAGUAACGCGUAGGAAUCUACCUGGUAGUGGGGGACAACUUGGGGAAACUCAAGCUAAUACCGCAUACGCCCCACGGGGGAAAGCGGGGGACCUUCGGGCCUCGCGCUAUCAGAUGAGCCUGCGUAGGAUUAGCUAGUUGGUGAGGUAAAGGCUCACCAAGGCGACGAUCCUUAGCUGGUCUGAGAGGAUGAUCAGCCACACUGGGACUGAGACACGGCCCAGACUCCUACGGGAGGCAGCAGUGGGGAAUAUUGCGCAAUGGGGGCAACCCUGACGCAGCCAUGCCGCGUGUGUGAAGAAGGCCUUCGGGUUGUAAAGCACUUUAAGUGGGGAGAAAAGGGUAGCGGUUAAUAGCCGUUACCUGUGAUGUUACCCACAGAAUAAGCACCGGCUAACUCCGUGCCAGCAGCCGCGGUAAUACGGAGGGUGCGAGCGUUAAUCGGAAUUACUGGGCGUAAGGCGCGCGUAGGCGGUUUGUUAAGUCAGCUGUGAAAGCCCCGGGCUCAACCUGGGAACUGCAGUUGAUACUGGCCGACUAGAGUACGAGAGAGGGAGGUAGAAUUCCAUGUGUAGCGGUGAAAUGCGUAGAUAUAUGGAGGAAUACCGGUGGCGAAGGCGGCCUCCUGGCUCGAUACUGACGCUGAGGUGCGAAAGCGUGGGGAUCAAACAGGAUUAGAUACCCUGGUAGUCCACGCCGUAAACGAUGUCUACUAGCCGUUGGGAGACUUGAUUUCUUAGUGGCGCAGCUAACGCAAUAAGUAGACCGCCUGGGGAGUACGGCCGCAAGGUUAAAACUCAAAUGAAUUGACGGGGGCCCGCACAAGCGGUGGAGCAUGUGGUUUAAUUCGAUGCAACGCGAAGAACCUUACCAGGUCUUGACAUCCUCGGAACUUUCCAGAGAUGGAUUGGUGCCUUCGGGAACCGAGAGACAGGUGCUGCAUGGCUGUCGUCAGCUCGUGUCGUGAGAUGUUGGGUUAAGUCCCGUAACGAGCGCAACCCUUGUCCUUAGUUGCCAGCACGUAUGGUGGGAACUCUAAGGAGACUGCCGGUGACAAACCGGAGGAAGGUGGGGACGACGUCAAGUCAUCAUGGCCCUUACGACCUGGGCUACACACGUGCUACAAUGGAACGCACAGAGGGCAGCAAAAGCGCGAGCUGGAGCCAAUCCCACAAAACGUUUCGUAGUCCGGAUCGGAGUCUGCGACUCGACUCCGUGAAGUCGGAAUCGCUAGUAAUCGUGGAUCAGAAUGCCACGGUGAAUACGUUCCCGGGCCUUGUACACACCGCCCGUCACACCAUGGGAGUGGGUUGCUCCAGAAGUGGUUAGCCUAACCUUCGGGGGGGCGAUCACCACGGAGUGAUUCAUGACUGGGGUGAAGUCGUAACAAGGUA
RNAcentral lists this ribosomal RNA (1491 nucleotides) under metagenome. Its description in RNAcentral is "bacterial SSU rRNA". It matches the Rfam family "Bacterial small subunit ribosomal RNA". The record is from RNAcentral.